CAUACUUCUGCGAUCCUGAGUUUUGGGGUGUCCUGGAACUCUGGCUUGGCCUCUCUGAGUGUCUCCAUCUCUCAGUGUCUCUGAGGCCCUGUCUCUACGUGGAUGUCUCUCAUCCCGGGAUGCUGAAGUUUGAAAAGCCUCCACCCCCACCUCCAGCCUUGAGAGAGGGAAGGAAUUGGAAGGGCGUGGAUGGGAUAAGGACUCGGUGUUCUGAGACCCAAGCGCUCCACCGUGCCCACUAAGCCUUCCCAUUGGAAACAGGUUUACCCAGAUGAAUCCCGUGCUGACUUCUGAAAUGGACCUGAAUCUUCAGCAGCCCAACACCAAGCUCUGGAGAGUUCGGGGCCCGGUCAUCGCCCCUGGAUGUAUUGGUGAUGCAGCUUCUUCCAUUGGGCCCCUCUCUGCCCUGACAGGCUCUCAGAGGUCACAGCAGGGCCCAGGGCCCCGGAAGAUGGAGUUACAAAUACGAGGCUAUCUGCGGCCAGAACAGGAGAGUUGGCCUGUUCUCCCAAUUCCUUCCAUCCCCUCUCCUGCUCCCUGACUCUUCCCCCCACCUGGUUUUUCAGGGCAAGGCAUUCAUUUGCCUGCCUCUCCUGUGGUCCCUUUCUUGCACCCACGAUAAGGAGCCUGCCCGUCAGCUGAGUGAUUGUAUUUUUUUACAGUUCCUAGCACAAACCUUCUCAUUUAUAUGUAAAGCAGCCAUUAGUCAUAGCUCCGUUCCCACACACUGCCUGAUGUACAAUCACAUUUUGCAGCGGAUGAAUCUUUCCACACAGCUGCUCUGCUAUGAAUAAUCCGUCUCCAGGCCCAUAAAUCAGAAAAAAAUCA
Molecule: long non-coding RNA, 828 nt
Organism: Neofelis nebulosa (Clouded leopard)
Lineage: Eukaryota; Metazoa; Chordata; Mammalia; Carnivora; Felidae
Exons: 3
Source: RefSeq, a predicted model, not a curated record